GGUAUUUACCCAACGUUGACUG
RNAcentral lists this unclassified non-coding RNA (22 nucleotides) under Trichuris muris. RNAcentral's name for it is "trans-spliced leader sequence SL-13". Lineage: Eukaryota; Metazoa; Nematoda; Enoplea; Trichinellida; Trichuridae. The record is from RNAcentral.